UUUUCGGUUUUAUUCUUAAUGUAAUAAUAAGUAAUUUUUAUUUAAUUGAAUAUUGGGUGAAAUCCUAUUUUAUUUUUAUGUAAAUUUUUGAUUAUGAAGUUGAGAAAUCUAGUUUAUAAACUGGGAUUAGAUACCCCAUUAUUCUAGACGUUGAAUAUAAGACCUGAUAAAUAUUAGUUAUGCUCUUCAAAAUCAAAAAAUUUGGCGGUUUUUUAUUCCAAUCAGGGGAAUCUGUCCUGUAAUCGAUAAUCCACGAUUAAUAAAACUUUUAUUGUGCUUGUAUAUCGUCGUUGUUAAUUAUUUUUGGAAAUAUAUAAUUAUGAUAUAAUAUUAUAUUGGAUAUCAGAUCAAGGUGCAGCUUAUAUAAGUAGAGAUGGAUUACAAUAAAUUUAUUUUAAGAUUAAUUUUAGCAUUAUUAUUUUGAAUAUGGAUUUGAGUGUAAUUUUGGUUAUUAACCAGGAUGAAUUAGGCUCUAGAAUAUGU
This 483-nucleotide ribosomal RNA is filed under the name Dematochroma sp. 'Thasycles' JGZ01-2021. RNAcentral's name for it is "partial 12S ribosomal RNA". The record is from RNAcentral. Lineage: Eukaryota; Metazoa; Arthropoda; Insecta; Coleoptera; Chrysomelidae.